Molecule: ribosomal RNA, 320 nt
Filed under: uncultured eukaryote
Lineage: Eukaryota
Description: partial 18S ribosomal RNA
Rfam family: Eukaryotic small subunit ribosomal RNA
Source: RNAcentral
CCCCUAGAUGUUCUGGGCCGCACGCGCGCUACACUGAACAGUUCAACAAGUCUUAACCUUGGCCGAUAGGUCUGGGUAAUCUUUGAACGCUGUUCGUGAUUGGGAUAGACCUUUGCAAUUAUGGGUCUUCAACGAGGAAUUCCUAGUAAACGCAAGUCAUCAGCUUGCAUUGAUUACGUCCCUGCCCUUUGUACACACCGCCCGUCGCACCUACCGAUUGAAUGGUCCGGUGAAAUCUCGGGACGGCGGCUUGGUCGCUUGCGUCUGACUGCUGAAACUUGAUUAAACCAUAUCAUUUAGAGGAAGGUGAANUCGUANCA